UACAGAGGUCUCAAGCGUUGUUCGGAUUCAUUGGGCGUAAAGGGUGCGUAGGCGGCGCGGUAAGUCGGGUGUGAAAUCUCGGAGCUUAACUCCGAAACUGCAUUCGAUACUGCCGUGCUUGAGGACUGGAGAGGAGACUGGAAUUUACGGUGUAGCGGUGAAAUGCGUAGAUAUCGUGAGGAACACCUGUGGCGAAAGCGGCGCACUGGACCACAACUGACGCUGAGGCGCGAAAGCUAGGGGAGCAAACAGG
This 253-nucleotide ribosomal RNA is filed under the name uncultured bacterium. Its description in RNAcentral is "partial 16S ribosomal RNA". It matches the Rfam family "Bacterial small subunit ribosomal RNA", at positions 524 to 776 of the family's 1533-position model. The record is from RNAcentral.